RNAcentral lists this unclassified non-coding RNA (1614 nucleotides) under Penaeus monodon (black tiger shrimp). RNAcentral's name for it is "uncharacterized LOC119578064, transcript variant X1". Lineage: Eukaryota; Metazoa; Arthropoda; Malacostraca; Decapoda; Penaeidae. The record is from RNAcentral.
AUUCGUGGGAGUCUUGUGCAAAGCGUAAACCGAUUUUCGAGUAAAAAAGAAAAGAUAUACUUGAAGAAACGGUGCUGAAUGAUGCACCAUGCGAAAUGAUGACACCACUUUCUCUAAGGGCAUAUCACAGAGGCAGCUAUAAAUGAUCAUAAAAGGCGACCUUAGUGAUGGUGCAGCUACCAGAACUAUAUGAUGUCACCACAUUUAGCUGAAGAUGCGCCUUCAUAAAGCCAGUUAAUUAAAUGAUUAUUUGUGAUAUUUGCUCGAUAUUGUCAUAACUAUGGGAAAACAAAGUAAAACAAAAAUUCCACGCUUUAUCUAUGGUGACGAUGUGUUCCAUACUAUGAACAGUUGUUUGUACACGCCAAGGAAAAAAGGUCAACAGGCUAAAAGGGUGGUGCUACUUAUCUUUUUAAACACUGUAUAUAUAUAUAUCAUAUAUAUACAUAGGUUAAGAUGCUGAUAAGAAGAAAAUUAGAGGAUUUUUUUUUAUAAGAAUGGUAGCAGUGACAAUUGAUAAUUUUAAACAUAUCAGUGUAAUCAUAUUAAGUUUAUGAAAAUAAUCAUAAUGAUUCACUACCACUAUUACAAUCUGAUAAUGAUAAAGAGCAUGCAACUGUUAUUGGAAACGUUGAUGAAAAUAACAAGGCAUUUAACUCAAGGACGAUUUUUAAUAGUUAUUCUUUUCAUAUCAAUAUGAAUAGAUAUGAUCAAUAGAUAUAAUAAUUAACGUGCAGAUGGCUACUUUUGAGAACUGCAAUUUAUGUAAUUUUCGUAAUUCGUGCGUAUAUGAUAUACUUCUAUGUAUUCAUACAUUCGUAUCUAUACAAUAUAUACCAAAGGGGCAAGUCAGAGAGUUUAAAACAUUCUUCCCCUAAAAUACCCAGCGUGGCAUUUAAGGACGCAUUAUUUUCCAAACUUCUUUGCUCAUUUAACCUUGCGACUAAAACAGAGAUAACCCAGCAGCGAGUGUAGCUUCGUUUCGGCCAUAAGAAGACAUCACUGCGUCAUCUCUCAUCGGCAGAGCAGUCGGUGAAUCCUUGUGGACAUGAGGACUUUGGCCAUCGCUGUCGCCCUCGUGGCGUUUGUCGCUGUCAGUGAGAGCGGUAAUCCUGAAGCUGAUGCUGAGCCCAGCCGCAAUGGAGGCGGCUUUGAAGGCCAUGGACUCGUGUCCUACAGACCCAUGACCAGAAGCUACAGUUACGGACACUGGAAGAGGAGUGCGGAGGCUGAGGCCGAGUCCGAGGCUGAGUCCGAGGCUGAUCCAUCCCGCAUCGGAUACUGCUAUGGCAGCUAUGGGCACGUAUCCUUCAGGCCAGUGUACAGCAGCUACGGUUACGGACGCUGGAAGAGGAGUGCUGAGGCUUAGCCUGUAGCUGAGGCUGAGGCUGAGACCGAGGCUGAUCCCUCCCGCUUCGGAUAUGGCUAUGGCGGCUAUGGGCGCGUGUGCUUUAGGCCGGUGUACAGCAGCUACGGUUACGGACGCUGGAAGAGGAGUGCUGAGGCUGAGCCUGGAUUCAGCUUCGGUCGCAGCUUUGGAGGUCACGGCCGCUUCGGAGGCUACAGGGGCUAUGGAGGCUACGGCGGAAGCUUUGGGGGCCAUGGUCGUUUCUA